Molecule: ribosomal RNA, 204 nt
Filed under: uncultured bacterium
Lineage: Bacteria
Description: partial 16S ribosomal RNA
Rfam family: Bacterial small subunit ribosomal RNA
Source: RNAcentral
AGCUUGAGAGAGUGACCGGCCACAUUGGGACUGAGACACGCCCCAGACUCUUACGGGAGGCAGCAGUGGGGAAUAUUGCACAAUGGGGGAAACCCUGAUGCAGCGACGCCGCGUGAAUGAAGAAGUAUUUCGGUAUGUAAAGCUCUAUCAGCAGGGAAGAUAAUGACGUACCUGACUAAGAAGCUCCGGCUAAAUACGUGCCAG